UACGUAGGGCGCAAGCGUUAUCCGGAAUUAUUGGGCGUAAAGAGCUCGUAGGCGGUUUGUCGCGUCUGCCGUGAAAGUCCGGGUCUCAACUCCGGAUCUGCGGUGGGUACGGGCAGACUAGAGUGAUGUAGGGGAGACUGGAAUUCCUGGUGUAGCGGUGAAAUGCGCAGAUAUCAGGAGGAACACCGAUGGCGAAGGCAGGUCUCUGGGCAUUAACUGACGCUGAGGAGCGAAAGCAUGGGGAGCGAACAGG
This 253-nucleotide ribosomal RNA is filed under the name uncultured bacterium. Its description in RNAcentral is "partial 16S ribosomal RNA". It matches the Rfam family "Bacterial small subunit ribosomal RNA", at positions 524 to 776 of the family's 1533-position model. The record is from RNAcentral.